UACGAAGGGGGCUAGCGUUGUUCGGAAUCACUGGGCGUAAAGCGCGCGUAGGCGGAUCGUUAAGUCGGGGGUGAAAUCCUGAGGCUCAACCUCAGAACUGCCUUCGAUACUGGCGAUCUUAGAGUCCGGGAGAGGUGAGUGGAACUCCUAGUGUAGAGGUGAAAUUCGUAGACAUUAGGAAGAACACCAGUGGCGAAGGCGGCUCACUGGCCCGGUACUGACGCUGAUGUGCGAAAGCGUGGGGAGCAAACAGG
Molecule: ribosomal RNA, 254 nt
Filed under: uncultured bacterium
Lineage: Bacteria
Description: partial 16S ribosomal RNA
Rfam family: Bacterial small subunit ribosomal RNA
Source: RNAcentral